This is a non-coding RNA of Arachis ipaensis, 963 nucleotides long. NCBI's taxonomy places the organism in Eukaryota, Viridiplantae, Streptophyta, Magnoliopsida, Fabales, Fabaceae. The record is from RefSeq and is a predicted model, not a curated record.
CUGUUGCCUUCUGCUUGCUUGUAGCCUGAUAAGGCCUUAGAGCUUGGAAUCAUAAACAGCCGCCAUGAAGCCUUCAUCACUUCCAAACUUUGGUGCAACAAUGAUCACCAUGACCUUGUCCUUCCAGCUCUCAAGACCACACUCAAGAAACUUGGGUUGGACUAUUUAGACCUUUACUUGAUUCAUAUGCCAGUGAGGUUGAAACCUGAAGUUGAUAGAGUUCUUGAAAUAGGAAAGGAUGAUUUGCUUCCCUUUGACAUAGAAGGAACAUGGGAAGCCAUGGAAGAGUGUCAAAGAUUAGGCUUAGCCAAAUUCAUUGGUGUAAGCAACUUUGGCAUAAAAAACUCACACAGCUCUUAGAAAAUGCAACUAUUCCUCCUGUUGUCAAUCAAGUAAGAAAAUUCAAUAGCAACACUUGCCAAAAGGGAUUAAAUUUAUCAAAUAAAUAUACAUAUUUUAAAUAAAAAAUUUUAUGGUGUCUAUAAAAUUUGUGUCUAAUUUGUUUAAAAGAUGAGGGGUAAAGGAGUAGAGCCCACCAUUUAUAUUUGAUUAUUUGUGUCAAAUAGUUAAAAAUUUAGACACAUUAGAACACACCAUUUUAAAUUGAAUAAUUUCUUUUUUUUUUCAUUUUGACAAUAAUGAUGUGGCUAUAUUCAAUUUUGACUUUAGGUGGAAAUGAGCUCAUCAUAGCAACAAGGGAAACUCAGAGAAUUUUGCAAGCAGAAAGGAAUCCAUUUGGCUGCAUGGUCACCGUUUUCUAGUAAAGUCACAGAUAUUGGCAUCCAUUUUCUUAAAGGGCUACAAAAUCUUGCUCUGUUAAAUUUGGAAGGCUACUUUGUAACAGCUGCAUGCUUGGAUACUCUUGCAGAGCUUCCAGCCCUCUCGAACUUGAAUAUCAGUAGAUGCAAUUUUACUAACAAUGGAUGUGAAAUGUUUUCAUGUAAGUUGUAGACUUGUCACUUG